CCUACGGGAGGCAGCAGUGGGGAAUUUUGGACAAUGGGCGAAAGCCUGAUCCAGCAAUGCCGCGUGAGUGAAGAAGGCCUUCGGGUUGUAAAGCUCUUUUGUCAGGGAAGAAACGGUGGGAGCUAAUAUCUCUUGCUAAUGACGGUACCUGAAGAAUAAGCACCGGCUAACUACGUGCCAGCAGCCGCGGUAAUACGUAGGGUGCAAGCGUUAAUCGGAAUUACUGGGCGUAAAGCGUGCGCAGGCGGUUUUGUAAGUCUGAUGUGAAAUCCCCGGGCUCAACCUGGGAAUUGCAUUGGAGACUGCAAGGCUAGAAUCUGGCAGAGGGGGGUAGAAUUCCACGUGUAGCAGUGAAAUGCGUAGAUAUGUGGAGGAACACCGAUGGCGAAGGCAGCCCCCUGGGUCAAGAUUGACGCUCAUGCACGAAAGCGUGGGGAGCAAACAGGAUUAGAUACCCUGGUAGUCCACGCCCUAAACGAUGUCUACUAGUUGUCGGGUCUUAAUUGACUUGGUAACGCAGCUAACGCGUGAAGUAGACCGCCUGGGGAGUACGGUCGCAAGAUUAAAACUCAAAGGAUUGACGG
Molecule: ribosomal RNA, 584 nt
Filed under: uncultured bacterium
Lineage: Bacteria
Description: bacterial SSU rRNA
Rfam family: Bacterial small subunit ribosomal RNA
Source: RNAcentral